This 18-nucleotide small nuclear RNA is filed under the name Arabidopsis thaliana (thale cress). RNAcentral describes it as "snRNA_15763". Lineage: Eukaryota; Viridiplantae; Streptophyta; Magnoliopsida; Brassicales; Brassicaceae. The record is from RNAcentral.
CCAACUGCGCGCUAACCU